This 432-nucleotide unclassified non-coding RNA is filed under the name soil metagenome. RNAcentral describes it as "partial contains 5.8S ribosomal RNA, internal transcribed spacer 2, and large subunit ribosomal RNA". The stretch from base 1 to 119 matches the Rfam family "5.8S ribosomal RNA", at positions 35 to 154 of the family's 154-position model. The record is from RNAcentral.
GAUGAAGAACGUAGCGAAAUGCGAUACGUAAUGUGAAUUGCAGAAUUCAGUGAAUCAUCGAAUCUUGAACGCAUAUUGCGCUCUCUGGUAUUCCGGAGAGCAUGCUUGUUUGAGUAUCAGUAAACACCUCAACUUCCAUAUCUUUUUUGAAAUGGGAGUUGGACUUGAGUGAUCCCAACGCUUUUCCUCACCGAAAAGUGGCGGGUUACUUGAAAUGCAGGUGCAGCUGGACUUUUCUCUGAGCUAUAAGCAUAUCUAUUUAGUCUGCCUAAAAAACAGAUUAUUACCUUUGCUGCAGCUAACAUAAAGGAGAUUAGUUCUUGUGCUGACUGAUGCAGGAUUCACAAAGACAGGCUUCGGCCGACUUUGUAAACUCGAUCUCAAAUCAAGUAAGACUACCCGCUGAACUUAAGCAUAUCAAUAAGCGGAGGA